This is a long non-coding RNA of Carya illinoinensis, 1396 nucleotides long. RefSeq lists it as uncharacterized. NCBI's taxonomy places the organism in Eukaryota, Viridiplantae, Streptophyta, Magnoliopsida, Fagales, Juglandaceae. The transcript is spliced from 4 exons. The record is from RefSeq and is a predicted model, not a curated record.
CUCGUUUCUUGCACUUUCCCUCACUUUCCAUCUUCUUAACUCGUGAAAUUUUCUCGUGCUUAUUCACUCUCUCAUUCGCGACCUUUUAUCCUGAUUUUCUGAACUCUCUCUAUCUCUUGUUGACACCGACAUUCUUCUAAAGUUUUUUUUCCCCUCUGUGCCUCACUCUUUUCCUUGCGUUUUCUUCUCGACAUGUUUUCUUACGUUCGAAGAACUUUCCUCUCACAAGCUCCUAUUUUCUGGUGUUAUAUCUCGCAUUUUAUGAGAUCGCGAACCACUUGCUGCUUUUCAUCUUCUUCAACGCUUUUUUUCCCUGAUUUAGUUUCCUUUUCUUUGUUUUUUAAUAGGAUUUAGUUUCCUUUUCUUGAUACACUUUUUUUUUACCUGACGCUCUAUUUUGCUUUCCCGUAUUUUGCAGAAGGGUAAUACCCGUCUCGAUGCAGCCCUCGACGCUAUGCGUCCAUAUGGAUUUUCCGAGAAACUGGUUCAAUAAACGGUCGGAGAGCUUCUAAAUGUUUAUGGUGGGGAUGAUGGAUGGGUCUUUAUUGAAGAAGUUUCUUACAUUCUUCUCGUUGAAACCAUUCUUGAAAAGCUAAAAGCUCAUGCACAAGAGGGUGCUGGUUCUUCUCAAGGUAAGGUCGGAGUUGCAGUUGAUACUGAAGCACCAGCUGUUUGGCCCGCAAAUGGAGUUACUUGCCCCAAUUCAGAGGCUGUGGAGGCUGUAUCGCAAACUAACCAGGCUACCUGGCAGACUAAUGAGACUUUAGAUACUGCAUCAGUGACACAUGAAUCUCAGGGUAUGCAUUGUCUCCCACCACCCGUUACGAUCCAAUCCAAACUACCCAUGGAUGGUCUUCCUACGCCAAGUCGUCGACCUUACCAUGGGUGGAUCAGUAAUGACGAUGAUGAGGAUGUAGUGCACCUCAAACCAGCUCCAUUACAGCAAAGUUUAGCAAAGAUGCUUACACCAGUUCCAGCGCAGGAAAGUUUAGUAAAGUUUCUUGAUACCCUAGGCAGGUGGAGAACGUGUAAGACAAGGUGGGAUGUGAGGCCUCAAGAUGUGUAAUCCUCUUUAAUGUUCCAUGCUAACCUAUGCCUCAAAGGGAUUUUUUUUGGUAAAAACCUGUGGUCAAGGGGUUUAUGGAAAGGAAGUGAGUUUUGUGGGCUUAGGUAAAUUAUUUUAGGGCAAAUACCAAGUAUAGGAAUUUUAAGUUUCUAAAGGGUUUUUGGCUUUCAAUCCAAAAUGUCAUCGACAAAACAGCUUACCUUGUUUUUUUGGUAACAAUUAAGAUUUUGUUUUUAGUAUUAUUCUAUUUUUGAGCCAGUGUAUGGAAGAUAUCAUUCAUAUUAUUUAGAUGGUAAGAUUUAAUUUGUAAGAUUUAUUUUUUAAGUCAAA